Molecule: ribosomal RNA, 253 nt
Filed under: uncultured bacterium
Lineage: Bacteria
Description: partial 16S ribosomal RNA
Rfam family: Bacterial small subunit ribosomal RNA
Source: RNAcentral
UACGUAGGGGGCAAGCGUUGUCCGGAUUUAUUGGGCGUAAAGAGCGUGUAGGCGGCCAAACAGGUCAGCUGUGAAAACUCGAGGCUCAACCUCGAGACGUCGGUUGAAACCGUUUGGCUAGAGUCCGGAAGAGGAGAGUGGAAUUCCCGGUGUAGCGGUGAAAUGCGCAGAUAUCGGGAAGAACACCCGUGGCGAAGGCGGCUCUCUGGGACGGUACUGACGCUGAGACGCGAAAGCGUGGGGAGCGAAUGGG